AAAGUCGUAACAAGGUUUCCGUAGGUGAACCUGCGGAAGGAUCAUUACCAAAACAUAGCUGUCUGGUCGCAAGGCCGUGACGCUUCAACCCAUUGUGAACCAAAAAACCUUUCGCUUCGGCAGCAGGUCCGGUCGGGAACGGCCGGGACGUCAGCCUGCCGCUAGCACCAACACAAAAACUUGCAGUCAAAACAUUGUCUGACAACCAAAUUUUCGAAUGAAAAUUAAAACUUUCAACAACGGAUCUCUUGGUUCCC
Molecule: unclassified non-coding RNA, 257 nt
Filed under: Ascomycota sp.
Lineage: Eukaryota; Fungi; Ascomycota
Description: partial contains small subunit ribosomal RNA, internal transcribed spacer 1, and 5.8S ribosomal RNA
Rfam family: Eukaryotic small subunit ribosomal RNA (bases 1-47)
Source: RNAcentral